AAAACGACUCAUACGAGACUCGAACUCGUACUCUCUGCCGUGACAGGGCAGUGUGUUAACCAGUUACACCAAUGAGCCA
This 79-nucleotide transfer RNA is filed under the name Staphylococcus phage vB_Sau_CG. RNAcentral's name for it is "tRNA-Asp". Lineage: Duplodnaviria; Heunggongvirae; Uroviricota; Caudoviricetes; Herelleviridae. The record is from RNAcentral.